AUUGAACGCUGGCGGCAUGCCUUACACAUGCAAGUCGAACGGUAACGGGCCUUCGGGUGCCGACGAGUGGCGAACGGGUGAGUAAUGCAUCGGAACGUACCUUUCAGUGGGGGAUAACGUAGCGAAAGUUACGCUAAUACCGCAUAUUCUGUGAGCAGGAAAGCAGGGGAUCGCAAGACCUUGCGCUGAUUGAGCGGCCGAUGUCAGAUUAGCUAGUUGGUGAGGUAAAGGCUCACCAAGGCGACGAUCUGUAGCGGGUCUGAGAGGAUGAUCCGCCACACUGGAACUGAGACACGGUCCAGGCUCCUACGGGAGGCAGCAGUGGGGGAAUUUUGGACAAUGGGGGCAACCCUGAUCCAGCCAUGCCGCGUGAGUGAAGAAGGCCUGG
Molecule: ribosomal RNA, 388 nt
Filed under: uncultured bacterium
Lineage: Bacteria
Description: bacterial SSU rRNA
Rfam family: Bacterial small subunit ribosomal RNA
Source: RNAcentral